This 303-nucleotide ribosomal RNA is filed under the name uncultured bacterium. Its description in RNAcentral is "partial 16S ribosomal RNA". It matches the Rfam family "Bacterial small subunit ribosomal RNA", at positions 507 to 807 of the family's 1533-position model. The record is from RNAcentral.
AGCAGUCGCCACGGUAAUACGUAGGGUGCAAGCGUUAAUCGGAAUUACUGGGCGUAAAGCGUGCGCAGGCGGUUAUAUAAGACAGAUGUGAAAUCCCCGGGCUCAACCUGGGAACUGCAUUUGUGACUGUAUAGCUAGAGUACGGCAGAGGGGGAUGGAAUUCCGCGUGUAGCAGUGAAAUGCGUAGAUAUGCGGAGGAACACCGAUGGCGAAGGCAAUCCCCUGGGCCUGUACUGACGCUCAUGCACGAAAGCGUGGGGAGCAAACAGGAUUAGAUACCCGUGUAGUCCCUGUCUCUUAUAC